This 112-nucleotide ribosomal RNA is filed under the name Acanthosepion pharaonis. The record is from RNAcentral. Lineage: Eukaryota; Metazoa; Mollusca; Cephalopoda; Sepiida; Sepiidae.
UACGGCCACAUCUCGUUGAAGCACCAGUUACCGUACGAUCACUAAAGUUAAGCAACGUCGAGCCCGUUUAGUACCUAGAUGGGUUACCGUUUUGGAAUAUCAGUUGCUGUAA